Molecule: ribosomal RNA, 459 nt
Filed under: uncultured bacterium
Lineage: Bacteria
Description: partial 16S ribosomal RNA
Rfam family: Bacterial small subunit ribosomal RNA
Source: RNAcentral
CCUACGGGAGGCUGCAGUGAGGAAUAUUGGUCAAUGGGCGGAAGCCUGAACCAGCCAAGUAGCGUGCAGGAUGACGGCCCUACGGGUUGUAAACUUCUUUUAUACGGGAAUAACUCGCCUUACGUGUAGGGCUUUGCAUGGACCGUAUGGAUAAGGACCGGCGAAUUCCGUGCCCGCAGCCGCGGUAAUACGGAAGGUUCGGGCGUUAUCCGGAUUUAUUGGGUUUAAAGGGAGCGUAGGCCGCAUGUCAAGCGUGCGGUAAAAUGUCCGGGCUCAACCCCGACAAGCCGUUGAAACUGGCUUGCUAGAGUGGGCGAGAAGUAUGCGGAAUGCGUGGUGUAGCGGUGAAAUGCAUAGAUAUCACGCAGAACUCCGAUUGCGAAGGCAGCAUACCGGCGCCCAACUGACGCUCAGGCACGAAAGCGUGGGUAUCGAACAGGAUUAGAUACCCUUGUAGUC